This 1714-nucleotide small RNA is filed under the name Pan troglodytes (chimpanzee). Its description in RNAcentral is "retained intron". Lineage: Eukaryota; Metazoa; Chordata; Mammalia; Primates; Hominidae. The record is from RNAcentral.
AAACUGCUCCCCGCUCCUGCAGCACCGGCCUCGGUCGCGCUGACUCUGGCCUGGUGUCCGUGUCUCUUGCUAUCUCUCUUUCUCUCAAGAUCUCUGCGCCUGUCUCCAUGUCUCUUUCUCUCUGUGCACCUAGGAUUUUCCGAGCACCCACCCCGGUGCCCCGCGGGCCCCGGCUGGGGGCAGGGCCCCCAACGCGUGCAGCGACACAAUCAGUGGAGCGCUCCCCACCCUCACCCCACCCCCAGCCCCUUUAGACCCACAGCUGAUGAGGCACGUGGAGUGGCAGAGAUGGAAGAGGGGAGGGAGAGGAAUCGUUCCUGGCCGCCUGCCGAGUGCCAGUCCCUGCCCCGGGUGCGUCUCUUCACUCCCACUAAGGAGGAAACGGCUCAGAGAGGGGAAGUGUUUGGCCAAGGUCACCCAGCGAGAGCCUUACUGCCUUUGUACCCCACUCGGGCCAUGGGCUCCCCGUUUCCUCUGGUGAACCUGCCUACACCCCUAUACCCCAUGAUGUGCCCCAUGGAACACCCCCUUUCUGCUGACAUCGCCAUGGCCACCCGUGCAGAUGAGGACGGAGACACGCCUCUCCAUAUUGCUGUGGUGCAGGGUAACCUGCCAGCUGUGCACCGGCUGGUCAACCUCUUCCAGCAGGGGGGCCGGGAGCUCGACAUCUACAACAACCUACGGCAGACACCGCUCCACCUGGCUGUGAUCACCACAUUACCGUCUGUGGUCCGGCUCCUGGUGACAGCUGGUGCCAGCCCCAUGGCGCUGGACCGCCAUGGCCAGACGGCCGCUCACCUGGCGUGCGAGCACCGCAGCCCGACCUGCCUGCGAGCCCUGCUGGACAGCGCAGCUCCGGGCACGUUGGACCUGGAGGCCCGCAAUUAUGACGGGCUCACCGCCCUGCACGUGGCAGUGAACACCGAGUGCCAAGAAACCGUGCAGCUCUUGCUAGAGCGCGGUGCCGACAUCGACGCAGUGGACAUUAAGAGCGGCCGCUCCCCGCUCAUCCACGCCGUGGAAAACAACAGCCUUAGCAUGGUGCAGCUGCUGCUGCAGCACGGCGCCAACGUGAACGCGCAAAUGUACUCCGGCAGCUCCGCCCUGCACUCAGCGUCCGGCCGCGGGCUCCUCCCGCUGGUGCGCACGCUGGUCCGCAGCGGCGCUGACAGCAGCCUCAAGAACUGCCACAACGACACGCCGCUCAUGGUGGCGCGCAGCCGCAGGGUGAGCCGGGGCAGCUGUGGACAUGCCCCUUGCACACGUGUGUCCGCGGGCUGGUUGCAGGCGAGUGUGCCAGAGCGCAGAGGAGUGAGGGUGUCUGUGCCGUUGCGUGGAGGGGAGUGGGUGAGCCUCUGAAAGCGCGGGUGUGAGUUCCAGAAAUGAGGAGAGACUGGCACCAAGAAAAAAAGUGCCUUGCCCAUCUUUUCCUACUGAGAAAUGGAGAGGCCACCACCUGGAUCCAGUGAGCUAGGAGGGAUAGGAGAGAGGACUGUGAGGCAUGGGUGGCUCUAUGGUCACGCCCAUCUUCCUAUAGGUCAUCGACAUCCUGAGGGGGAAGGCCACCCGGCCUGCUUCCACCUCCCAGCCAGACCCCUCCCCUGACCGGAGCGCCAACACCUCCCCCGAGAGCAGCAGCCGCCUCAGCUCCAAUGGUCUUCUCUCCACAUCACCAUCCUCCUCACCCUCCCAGUCUCCCCCCAGGGACCCCCCU